RNAcentral lists this ribosomal RNA (740 nucleotides) under Arxiozyma telluris. Its description in RNAcentral is "eukaryotic LSU rRNA". The stretch from base 325 to 478 matches the Rfam family "5.8S ribosomal RNA". Lineage: Eukaryota; Fungi; Ascomycota; Saccharomycetes; Saccharomycetales; Saccharomycetaceae. The record is from RNAcentral.
AGACAACUGUCUCGUGGAGGGUGCUGGGAGGAGCCAUGGGGGAGUGCGUAUACUGCGGGCUAACCAGCGCUUAGUUGCGCGGUGCCUGUGGGUGCUCUGCCGGGAGCCUUCUGCUAAGGUGCUCUGCAUGUAGAACACACACACAGUGGAGACACGUAUGCACGUUUUUCUGGGUGCACAUGGUGCUUUGGGCUGGCAACGGCCCAGAGUGCAGCACACAAAACACAAACAAAAAUGCAGUGUAGAAAAUAGUCAGCAAAAAAACACGAGUUCUGGGGCAGUGCGCGAGUGCUGUGGCAGGACGAGUGAUGUACAAAUCUUCAAAACUUUCAACAACGGAUCUCUUGGUUCUCGCAUCGAUGAAGAACGCAGCGAAAUGCGAUACGUAGUGUGAAUUGCAGAAUUCCGUGAAUCAUCGAAUCUUUGAACGCACAUUGCGCCCCUUGGUAUUCCAGGGGGCAUGCCUGUUUGAGCGUCAUUUCCUUCUCAAACAGCGAUGUUUGGUUGUGAGUGAUACUCGGAAGAGUUAGCUUGAAAAUGCUGGCCGGUGGCUGCAGUGGCCGUGGGUCUCUGCUGGACGUCUUCGUACUAGGUUCUGCCAAUUCGGGGACAGCUGGCGGGGGUUAAGCCCGUUGACGGCUGCGAGAAGACAGCAGUGGCGAACAGUGUUCUUUUAAGUUUGACCUCAGAUCAGGUAGGAGUACCCGCUGAACUUAAGCAUAUCAAUAAGCGGAGGGAAA